RNAcentral lists this ribosomal RNA (249 nucleotides) under uncultured Gardnerella sp. RNAcentral describes it as "partial 16S ribosomal RNA". It matches the Rfam family "Bacterial small subunit ribosomal RNA", at positions 107 to 355 of the family's 1533-position model. Lineage: Bacteria; Bacillati; Actinomycetota; Actinomycetes; Bifidobacteriales; Bifidobacteriaceae. The record is from RNAcentral.
UAGAGUAAUGCGUGACCAACCUGCCCCAUGCUCCAGAAUAGCUCUUGGAAACGGGUGGUAAUGCUGGAUGCUCCAACUUGACGCAUGUCUUGUUGGGAAAGUGUUUAGUGGCAUGGGAUGGGGUCGCGUCCUAUCAGCUUGUAGGCGGGGUAAUGGCCCACCUAGGCUUCGACGGGUAGCCGGCCUGAGAGGGCGGACGGCCACAUUGGGACUGAGAUACGGCCCAGACUCCUACGGGAGGCAGCAGCA